GACGAACGCUGGCGGCGUGCUUAACACAUGCAAGUCGAGCGGAAAGGCCCUGCUUUUGUGGGGUGCUCGAGUGGCGAACGGGUGAGUAACACGUGAGUAACCUGCCCUUGACUUUGGGAUAACUUCAGGAAACUGGGGCUAAUACCGGAUAGGAGCUCCUGCUGCAUGGUGGGGGUUGGAAAGUUUCGGCGGUUGGGGAUGGACUCGCGGCUUAUCAGCUUGUUGGUGGGGUAGUGGCUUACCAAGGCUUUGACGGGUAGCCGGCCUGAGAGGGUGACCGGCCACAUUGGGACUGAGAUACGGCCCAGACUCCUACGGGAGGCAGCAGUGGGGAAUAUUGCACAAUGGGCGGAAGCCUGAUGCAGCAACGCCGCGUGCGUGAUGACGGCCUUCGGGUUGUAAACCGCUUUCGCCUGUGACGAAGCGUGAGUGACGGUAAUGGGUAAAGAAGCACCGGCUAACUACGUG
This 468-nucleotide ribosomal RNA is filed under the name uncultured bacterium. RNAcentral describes it as "partial 16S ribosomal RNA". It matches the Rfam family "Bacterial small subunit ribosomal RNA", at positions 28 to 507 of the family's 1533-position model. The record is from RNAcentral.